Molecule: transfer RNA, 92 nt
Filed under: uncultured Actinomyces sp.
Lineage: Bacteria; Bacillati; Actinomycetota; Actinomycetes; Actinomycetales; Actinomycetaceae
Description: tRNA-Gln(ctg)
Source: RNAcentral
UUGGGAUGGGCGCCGUGGGUGCGCGCGUGCUCCUGACGUACGCGCUCGAUUGGAUCUGCAUGAUCGCCGCGAUCCUGCUCGCGAUCCCGGAC